AACAGACGGAAGAUGUGAGGAGGAAGAACACUGCGAGACGACGAGAAGGGGACGGGAGGAAAGCAUUAUGGCUGGAAAUAGGAAUGGAGACAGAAUGGUGAUGAGAGCUGUGAUUGAUCAGCUUUUCCAGGAGGAAAUGAGAGGGCAUCUCUCAGAGGCCUGUUAAAACAGCCAGUUGUUCCAGGACAGCCUUUCACGUGACGGGCCAACCUACGUUGCAAACCCAAACGACAUCGCACUGGGAGCGGGUGAUGGAGCUCGCUGCCAAACUCCAGGCCACCUACUCUCUCCACACUGGGCCGCAGCACACCACCUUCCGUGCGCGGGCCGCUGCGACCUCCCGACCCCGCUGGGCCGCAGUGCACCUCCUUCUGCGCUGGGCUGCAGCAACCUCCUGAUCCAGCUCCACGACUCCUGCCCCCGGCGCCACUGUGCCCAGAUUCCCGUGUCCCGCAGCCGGCGCCUCCGGCUUCCCGUGUUCUGCAGCCGGCGCCUCCGGCUUCCCGUGUUCUGCAGCCGGCGCCCUCGGCUUCCCGUGUCCUGCAGCCGGCGACUCCGGCAAACUGACCGACCUCCGGGCCGACCCCCAUAGGCUCCCCGGCCAACUGGCCGUUCGCCGGGCCGCCCGCCGGAGUUCCCUGGAUGGCCCGACCCUCGUCUCCUGGUCCCCUCCCUCCCGCCCCUUGUCUGCUCUCUACUGGUUCCGCCUGCCCUUUAGCACCAUCUGGAAUUUGGCCCAUGAGGGGGGGGGGUUCUGUCACAAUUUGGGUUCAGGCAUUUUUUUUU
Gasterosteus aculeatus aculeatus (three-spined stickleback) is the source of this 786-nucleotide long non-coding RNA. The record is from Ensembl. Lineage: Eukaryota; Metazoa; Chordata; Actinopteri; Perciformes; Gasterosteidae.